UACGAAGGGGGCUAGCGUUGCUCGGAAUCACUGGGCGUAAAGGGUGCGUAGGCGGGUUUUUAAGUCAGGGGUGAAAUCCUGGAGCUCAACUCCAGAACUGCCUUUGAUACUGAAGAUCUUGAGUCCGGGAGAGGUGAGUGGAACUGCGAGUGUAGAGGUGAAAUUCGUAGAUAUUCGCAGGAACACCAGUGGCGAAGGCGGCUCACUGGCCCGAUACUGACGCUGAGGCACGAAAGCGUGGGGAGCAAACAGG
Molecule: ribosomal RNA, 253 nt
Filed under: uncultured bacterium
Lineage: Bacteria
Description: partial 16S ribosomal RNA
Rfam family: Bacterial small subunit ribosomal RNA
Source: RNAcentral